This is a long non-coding RNA of Panthera uncia (snow leopard), 5096 nucleotides long. RefSeq lists it as uncharacterized. The transcript is spliced from 3 exons. The record is from RefSeq and is a predicted model, not a curated record. NCBI's taxonomy places the organism in Eukaryota, Metazoa, Chordata, Mammalia, Carnivora, Felidae.
GGUUGAGUGGGAGCCCUGCUGCGGGUGAGCACGAGCCCCGCUUCCGGUGAGCACGAGUCCUGCUUUGGUUGAGCUGGAGCCCUGCUUCUGAUGAUAAUCCAACAUUACCUGACUUAAGAAGAACCAGGAAAUUCUGACCCAUUCUCCAAAGCAGAGUGUUACGUCUCCAGAGGCAAGAGAAAAGCAAAAAUGGAAUAUUGGGACCUCAUCAAAAUAAAAAGCUUCUGCACAGUGAAGGAAACAAUCAGCAAAACUAAAAGGCAACUGAUGGAAUGGGAGAAGAUAUUUGCAAAUGACAUAUCAGAUAAAGGGUUAGUAUCCAAAACCUAUAAAGAACUUAACAAACUUGAUACCCAAAAAACAAAUAAUCCAGUGAGGAAAUGGGCAAAAGACAUGAAUAGACACUUCUCCAAAGAAGAUAUCCAGAUGGCCAACCGACACAUGAAAAAAUGCUCAACAUCACUCAUCAUCAGGGAAAUACAGAUCAAAACCACAAUGAGAUACCACCUCACACCUGGUAGAAUGGCUAAUGUUAACAACUCAGAUAGAAACAGAUGUUGGCGAGGAUGCGGAGAAAGAGGAUCUCUUUUGCACUGCUGGUGGGAAUGCACACUGGUACAGCCACUCUGGAAAGCAGUAUGGAGCUUCCUCAAAAAAUUAGAAAUAGAAGUACCCUAUGACCCAGCAAUUGCACUACUAGGUAUUUAUCCAAGGGAUACAGGUAUGCUGUUUUGAAGGGGCACAUGCACCCCAAUGUGUAUAGCAACACUACCAACCAUAGCCAAAGUAUGGCAAGAGCCCAAAUGUCCACUGAUGGAUGAAUGGGUAAAGAAGAUGUGGUAUAUAUAUACAAUGGAGUAUUCCUUGGCAAUCAAAAAGAAUGAAAUCUUGCCAUUUGCAACCAUGUGGAUGGAACUAGAGAGUAUUGUGCUAAGUGAAAUUAGUCAGAGAAAGGCAAAUAUGAUUUCACUCAUGUGAGAACUUUAAGAGACAAAACAGAUGAACAUAAGGGAAGGGCAGCAAAAAUAAUAUAAAACAGGAAGGGGGACAAAACAUAAGAGACUCUUAAAUAUGGAGAACAAACAGAGGGUUACUAGAGGGAUUGUGGGAAGGGGAUAGGCUAAAUGUGUAAGGAGCAUUAGGGAGUCUACUUCUGAAAUCAUUGUUGCACUAUAUGCUAACUUGGAUGUAAAUUAAAAAAUUAAAAUAAAAUAAAAUAAAAUAAAAUAAAAUAAAAUAAUGCAGUGUUAGUUCUUAGUAAGUUCUAAGUUCUAAUGCAAAUAGAAUGCAUAUUGUAAUUCCUAGAGAAAAAAAUAGGACAUAUAUAAAAAGUCAAUAGAAGAACUAACAUGGAAUUCUAAAGUUAUUUAAAUAACUUAAAAAGGUAAGAAAGGAAAAAUAGGAGCAAAAAAUGCGAUAGGGGACAAAUAAUAAAACAAAUAAAUAAAACAAAUAAAAAAAUAAUAAAACAAAUAAUAAAAUAGGCCCAACUCAACCAUAGUAAUAACUACAUUAAGCAUUAGUGGACUAAAUACUCCAAUUAAAGAGCAGAGAAUGUCAGACUGAUAAAAAAGUAAAAAAAGUAAAACCUAUGAUGUGAUUUAAAUAUAAAGAGGUUGGUAAGUUGAAGCAAAUCAGUGGACGCUUACCAUGAAAUAGUAAGCAUGAGAAGGCUGAAAUGUUUGUGUUUGUACUAGAUAAGUUCAUUUUCACCCAAGAGUAUUAUCAAAGAUAAAAGGAGCCCUUUCUUAAUGACUAAAGCAUUCAUUCAUCAAGAACACUACAGUCAUGAAUAUGUAUGUGCCUACCAAAACACAUGUGACUUCAAAACACAUGAAGAAAAAGUUGCCAAAAUUAAAGAGAAGCACAAAUUCAUGAUAUAAAACACUCAACAAAUGUGGAUAAAAUCAUCUAAGAAAAACUGACAGUUAACAUCAUACUUGAAUGACUGAACAUUUUCCCUCUAAGAUCAGAAAUGAGACAAGAGUGCCUGUUUUCACCACUUUGCAUCCCAUUGUAUUGGAGGUUUUAGCAAGGGCAGCUAGGCAAGAAAAAGAAAUAAAAGGGACCCAGGCUGUAAAGGAAGAAGUAAAACUGUCACUUUUUACAGAUGACAUAACCUUAUAUAUGUAGAAAAUUCUAAGGAAUCCAGUAACUAUUAGAAUAAAUGAGUUAAAGAAGUUUAUAGUUGCAGGAUGCCAAAUCAAUAUACAAAAAUCAAUUGCAUUUCCAAACACUAGCAAUGAACAAUCUGAAAGUGAAUUUAAGGAAACAAUUCCAUUUACAAUAGCAUCAAAAAGAAUAAAAUAGGAAUGGGAUGCCUGGGUGGCUCAGUCAGUUAUGUGUGCACUCUUGAUCUCUGCUCGGGUCUUGAUCUCAGGAAUGUGAGCGCAAGCCCCAUGUUGGGCUCCUUCCACACUAGGCAGGAAGCCUACUUAAAAAAAAUAGUAAUAAAUUUUGGGGAAAUGGAAGACUGGCACACUGAAAUCUACAAAAUAUUGUUGCAAGAAACUAAAGAUCUAAUGAAAUGGAAAGACAUCUCAUGUUCAAAACAUUUAUGGGUGUACAUCAAAGGCAUACAGGAGCCAACCGAAAUGGCCCAGAUUGAAACAAUUUGAGCAGCAAAUUGUGUUGAAUUGGAUUAUAACUCAAAUGCAAAGUAAACAUUCAUGAGUCCAUACUGGUUUAAAUUAAUGAUUGAAAAUAAAUAAAUAAAUGAAUAAAUGGGAAGAAUAGACAAAUCUGUGCAAAAGAUUUGGAAGUGAUUUAUAUAGAUACUCUGCCUUCAAGGAGAAGGAGCCUAACUCCCUACUCCCUUAAGUGUGUAGGCUGUGCAUGGUGAUUUCCUUCCAAAGCAUACAGUAUACGAAGGGGAAUAAAAUAACAAUUUUACAGUGGAGCAACCUGACAAACACAUUAGCUGGGAGAUCAAGGGCAACAUCAUCAGUAAUAAAUCAUUGAAAGUAUGUACCCUUGAUAUGAUGUGAUGAAAAUGUCACUUUACCUCUGUGAUCUUUCUUCUCCAAAAUUCACAGCCCCACUCUAAUUAUGAGAGAAACAUCAGACAAUUUGCAAUAGAGGGACACCCUGCAAAAUACCUGACCAGUAAUUUUCAAAAUUGUCAAGGUUAUCAAAAACAAGAAAAAUCUAAAAGGAGCCUAAGUAGAUACGAUAGUUAAAAGUAAUGUAGUUUUCUCUGUGGGAUCCUGGAACAAAAAAUGGACAUUAGGUAAGAACUGAGGAAAUCUGAAUAAACUAUGAGAUUUAAUAAUGUAUCAUUAUUGAUUCAUUUAAUUAUAACAAGUUUACCAUAUUAAUGUAAGAAAUUAGAGGGUAUGGAGUAUGUGGAAACUUUGUAUUAUCUUCUCAAUCUUUCUGUUAAUCUAAAACUGUUCUUAAAAACAAUGUCUAAUGUAGUUAUCUGUGGAAACAGUGACUCCUGAGAGUGUGUGUCUCCUUUUAGGGACAGGGUGAAAUCUUUGUAUAAAGGAUUGUUGCAUCUUAUUAGAUGGAAACAGUUGGUUUUUGGUUUCUUAAAUGUUCAAAUGUAUGUGUAAGGAUAAAUCUGGAAGCUGAGUAGAAAAAUGGGUGGAAUAGGGUGCCUUGGGUAGCUCCAUUGGUUAAACACCUGACUCUUGAUCUCAGCUCAGGUCAUGAGUUUAAGCUCCACAUUGGGCUUGGGCCCCACACUGGCCAUGAAGCCUACUUAGAAAAAAGGGGGGAAAAAAGAAAAAGAUAAAAGAAAAAUGGAUGGGCUGUGUUAGUGUAAUGCUUCAUCUUUUAUUUUAAAGUUUAUGUUGAGAGAGAAAGAAAGAGGACAGGGGAGGGGUAGAGGGAGAGGGAGAGAAUCCCAAGCAGGCUCUGCACUGUCAGGACAGAGCCCGACAUGGGUCUUGAUCCUACCAAACAGGAGAUCAUGACCUGAACUGAAACCAAGGGUCAGAUGUUCAACCAACUGAGCCACCCAGGAGCCCCGAGGCUUCGUCUUUAUCUUCACCAUUUAAUGCUUCAUCUCCAAAUCCAUCUUAUGCCCCGCCUUAUGAUCCUGACCCUGUAAACAUCUCUCCUUUGCCAGUUGACGCAGUGUUAGGUUUGCCAAUAGAGGGUGCUGGAGGGCUGCUGCGAGGCAAUAGUGCAAGGCACCUCACUCCCAUUUUUCAGUUUUCCUUCCUUUUCACUGAACACAGGAGUCAGUGGAUUGAUGUGUGGGAUAGUACAGCCUCACUUCAGCUGCCUGGACUGACCAGCUUCAGCUUUGUACUCAGGCCCCCUCUGCCCUCCUGGCAGCUAAUUCCACAGCAGCUCCAGCUUCACCCAUAGGUAAAAGACCAGCUCCAGCCUUCUGUAUCCUCUGGCCAUGCUGGGCCACUUCUAUGCACCAACACUGGUCCAUGCCCUUUGGGAAGGGGCCAGAGAUCUGCCGGCCAGAUUCUGGCUCAUGUUGCCUGAGGCCAGCUGGUAUUACGCAGUCCCUCCUUGCAGACUACAUCUCUUCCUUUCUGAACCAUUAGUUAAUUCAUUCUUUAUUGAUCACUUACUAGGUGCCAGGCAGUGUUCUAAUAAACACUUGUGUGCAAACAAUCAAACAAAAAAAAAUCAAUGCUUUAGUCACAAGGAUGGCAGACCUACAAAAGAAUGUGCAGAUGUGACAAGUCACUUAUGCUAAACUCAGAGCCAUGGGAGGGAAGGAAUGGGACCAUUGGAUAGGGUGUUUGUGUUGAAGUGUCUCUGAAAUUUGAACCUCCAGAUUUCCCAGAUCCCAGUCUCCUCCAGGAGAGGAGCUGUCUCCUGCUAUAGAACAACUGCCCUUGCAAACAAUCCAUCUGAGGUUGAUGUUUGGCAGGUUUAAGCUUGUCCUCAUUAGGAUCUGCUUCUUUUACCUCUCAUUACUUCCACACCAGUAACCAAGAUAAGGUCUCAUCAUAGCCUCAAAAGAGAAAUUCAGUUUCUGCUCUGAGAGGAAACAGACUAGUCACUGAAGGACUUGCAGGACCUGAGUAAAAUGCACUGGUAUGAUCCAGGGAAGAUGUGUGAGGAUGGAUUUUGAGAGCGUUAGGUGGAGGGCAGUACAAUAAGGCAGAGUAGGAGAGAAUUGG